GAUGAACGCUGGCGGCGUGCCUAAUACAUGCAAGUCGAGCGAACAGACGAGGAGCUUGCUCCUCUGACGUUAGCGGCGGACGGGUGAGUAACACGUGGAUAACCUACCUAUAAUACUGGGAUAACUUCGGGAAACCGGAGCUAAUACCGGAUAAUAUAUUGAACCGCAUGGUUCAAUAGUGAAAGACGGUUUUGCUGUCACUUAUAGAUGGAUCCGCGCCGCAUUAGCUAGUUGGUAAGGUAACGGCUUACCAAGGCAACGAUGCGUAGCCGACCUGAGAGGGUGAUCGGCCACACUGGAACUGAGACACGGUCCAGACUCCUACGGGAGGCAGCAGUAGGGAAUCUUCCGCAAAGGGCGAAAGCCUGACGGAGCAACGCCGCGUGAGUGAUGAAGGUCUUCGGAUCGUAAAACUCUGUUAUUAGGGAAGAACAAAUGUGUAAGUAACUAUGCACGUCUUGACGGUACCUAAUCAGAAAGCCACGGCUAACUACGUG
RNAcentral lists this ribosomal RNA (497 nucleotides) under uncultured bacterium. RNAcentral's name for it is "partial 16S ribosomal RNA". It matches the Rfam family "Bacterial small subunit ribosomal RNA", at positions 28 to 507 of the family's 1533-position model. The record is from RNAcentral.